RNAcentral lists this ribosomal RNA (467 nucleotides) under uncultured bacterium. RNAcentral's name for it is "partial 16S ribosomal RNA". It matches the Rfam family "Bacterial small subunit ribosomal RNA", at positions 28 to 507 of the family's 1533-position model. The record is from RNAcentral.
GAUGAACGCUGGCGGCGUGCUUAACACAUGCAAGUCGAACGGAAAGGCCCAAGCUUGCUUGGGUACUCGAGUGGCGAACGGGUGAGUAACACGUGGGUGAUCUGCCCUGCACUUCGGGAUAAGCCUGGGAAACUGGGUCUAAUACCGGAUAGGACCACUUCUUGGAUGUUGUGGUGGAAAGAUUUUUCGGUGUGGGAUGAGCUCGCGGCCUAUCAGCUUGUUGGUGGGGUAAUGGCCUACCAAGGCGUCGACGGGUAGCCGGCCUGAGAGGGUGUACGGCCACAUUGGGACUGAGGUACGGCCCAGACUCCUACGGGAGGCAGCAGUGGGGAAUAUUGCACAAUGGGCGCAAGCCUGAUGCAGCGACGCCGCGUGGGGGAUGACGGCCUUCGGGUUGUAAACUCCUUUCGCUAGGGACGAAGCGUUUUGUGACGGUACCUGGAGAAGAAGCACCGGCUAACUACGUG